Molecule: ribosomal RNA, 1085 nt
Filed under: Pseudoalteromonas sp. D6023
Lineage: Bacteria; Pseudomonadati; Pseudomonadota; Gammaproteobacteria; Alteromonadales; Pseudoalteromonadaceae
Description: bacterial SSU rRNA
Rfam family: Bacterial small subunit ribosomal RNA
Source: RNAcentral
GGGGUGCGAGCUACCAUGCGAGUCGAGCGGUAACAUUUCUAGCUUGCUAGAAGAUGACGAGCGGCGGACGGGUGAGUAAUGCUUGGGAACAUGCCUUGAGGUGGGGGACAACCGUUGGAAACGACGGCUAAUACCGCAUAAUCUCUACGGAGCAAAGGGGGCUUUUAGCUCUCGCCUUUAGAUUGGCCCAAGUGGGAUUAGCUAGUUGGUGAGGUAAUGGCUCACCAAGGCGACGAUCCCUAGCUGGUUUGAGAGGAUGAUCAGCCACACUGGAACUGAGACACGGUCCAGACUCCUACGGGAGGCAGCAGUGGGGAAUAUUGCACAAUGGGCGCAAGCCUGAUGCAGCCAUGCCGCGUGUGUGAAGAAGGCCUUCGGGUUGUAAAGCACUUUCAGUCAGGAGGAAAGGUUAGUAGUUAAUACCUGCUAGCUGUGACGUUACUGACAGAAGAAGCACCGGCUAACUCCGUGCCAGCAGCCGCGGUAAUACGGAGGGUGCGAGCGUUAAUCGGAAUUACUGGGCGUAAAGCGUACGCAGGCGGUUUGUUAAGCGAGAUGUGAAAGCCCCGGGCUCAACCUGGGAACAGCAUUUCGAACUGGCAAGCUAGAGUGUGAUAGAGGGUGGUAGAAUUUCAGGUGUAGCGGUGAAAUGCGUAGAGAUCUGAAGGAAUACCGAUGGCGAAGGCAGCCACCUGGGUCAACACUGACGCUCAUGUACGAAAGCGUGGGGAGCAAACAGGAUUAGAUACCCUGGUAGUCCACGCCGUAAACGAUGUCUACUAGGAGCUCGGUCUUUCGGGACUGUUUUCCAAAGCUAACGCAUUAAGUAGACCGCCUGGGGAGUACGGCCGCAAGGUUAAAACUCAAAUGAAUUGACGGGGGCCCGCACAAGCGGUGGAGCAUGUGGUUUAAUUCGAUGCAACGCGAAAACCUUACCUACACUUGACAUCCAGAGAACUUACUAGAGAUAGUUUGGUGCCUUCCGGGAACUCUGAAACAGGUGCUGCAUGGCUGUCGUCAGCUCGUGUUGGUGAGAUGUUGGGUUAAGUCCCGCACGAGCGGCAACCCGUUAUCCUAGUUUGCCA